This 429-nucleotide ribosomal RNA is filed under the name Actinomycetes bacterium. RNAcentral's name for it is "Actinobacteria bacterium partial 16S ribosomal RNA". It matches the Rfam family "Bacterial small subunit ribosomal RNA", at positions 355 to 776 of the family's 1533-position model. Lineage: Bacteria; Bacillati; Actinomycetota; Actinomycetes. The record is from RNAcentral.
UAGGGAAUCUUCCGCAAUGGGCGAAAGCCUGACGGAGCAACGCCGCGUGAGUGAUGAAGGUCUUCGGAUCGUAAAACUCUGUUAGUAGGGAAGAACAAACGUGUAAGUAACUAUGCACGUCUUGACGGUACCUAAUCAGAAAGCCACGGCUAACUACGUGCCAGCAGCCGCGGUAAUACGUAGGUGGCAAGCGUUAUCCGGAAUUAUUGGGCGUAAAGCGCGCGUAGGCGGUUUUUUAAGUCUGAUGUGAAAGCCCGCGGCUCAACCGUGGAGGGUCAUUGGAAACUGGAAAACUUGAGUGCAGUAGAGGAAAGUGGAAUUCCAUGUGUAGCGGUGAAAUGCGCAGAGAUAUGGAGGAACACCAGUGGCGAAGGCGACUUUCUGGUCUGUAACUGACGCUGAUGUGCGAAAGCGUGGGGAUCAAACAGG